UACGUAGGGUGCAAGCGUUAAUCGGAAUUACUGGGCGUAAAGCGUGCGCAGGCGGUUAUGUAAGACAGUUGUGAAAUCCCCGGGCUCAACCUGGGAACUGCAUCUGUGACUGCAUAGCUAGAGUACGGUAGAGGGGGAUGGAAUUCCGCGUGUAGCAGUGAAAUGCGUAGAGAUGUGGAGGAACACCAAUGGCGAAGGCAGCCUUCUGGGCCAACACUGACGCUCAUGCACGAAAGCGUGGGGAGCAAACAGG
This 253-nucleotide ribosomal RNA is filed under the name uncultured bacterium. Its description in RNAcentral is "partial 16S ribosomal RNA". It matches the Rfam family "Bacterial small subunit ribosomal RNA", at positions 524 to 776 of the family's 1533-position model. The record is from RNAcentral.